AAAACGGCCCUUUUCAGGGCCAAAACAUAUAACACGUCAAUGAAUAU
Molecule: non-coding RNA, 47 nt
Organism: Pediculus humanus corporis (human body louse)
Lineage: Eukaryota; Metazoa; Arthropoda; Insecta; Psocodea; Pediculidae
Source: Rfam